AGUGAACGCUGGCGGUAGGCCUAACACAUGCAAGUCGAACGGCAGCACAGUAAGAGCUUGCUCUUACGGGUGGCGAGUGGCGGACGGGUGAGGAAUACAUCGGAAUCUACUUUUUCGUGGGGGAUAACGUAGGGAAACUUACGCUAAUACCGCAUACGACCUACGGGUGAAAGCAGGGGAUCUUCGGACCUUGCGCGAUUGAAUGAGCCGAUGUCGGAUUAGCUAGUUGGCGGGGUAAAGGCCCACCAAGGCGACGAUCCGUAGCUGGUCUGAGAGGAUGAUCAGCCACACUGGAACUGAGACACGGGCCAGACUCCUACGGGAGGCAGCAGUGGGGAAUAUUGGACAAUGGGCGCAAGCCUGAUCCAGCCAUACCGCGUGGGUGAAGAAGGCCUUCGGGUUGUAAAGCACUUUUGUUGGGAAAGAAAAGCAGCAGGUUAAUACCCCGCUGUUCUGACGGUACCCAAAGAAUAAGCACCGGCUAACUUCG
RNAcentral lists this ribosomal RNA (490 nucleotides) under uncultured bacterium. RNAcentral's name for it is "partial 16S ribosomal RNA". It matches the Rfam family "Bacterial small subunit ribosomal RNA", at positions 29 to 505 of the family's 1533-position model. The record is from RNAcentral.